GACGAACGCUGGCGGCGUGCUUAACACAUGCAAGUCGAACGGAAAGGCCCUGCUUUUGUGGGGUGCUCGAGUGGCGAACGGGUGAGUAACACGUGAGUAACCUGCCCUUGACUUUGGGAUAACUUCAGGAAACUGGGGCUAAUACCGGAUAGGAGCUCCUGCUGCAUGGUGGGGGUUGGAAAGUUUCGGCGGUUGGGGAUGGACUCGCGGCUUAUCAGCUUGUUGGUGGGGUAGUGGCUUACCAAGGCUUUGACGGGUAGCCGGCCUGAGAGGGUGACCGGCCACAUUGGGACUGAGAUACGGCCCAGACGCCUACGGGAGGCAGCAGUGGGAAAUAUUGCGCAAUGGGCGGAAGCCUGAUGCAGCAACGCCGCGUGCGGGAUGACGGCCUUCGGGUUGUAAACCGCUUUCGCCUGUGACGAAGCGGGAGUGACGGUAAUGGGUAAAGAAGCACCGGCUAACUACGUG
RNAcentral lists this ribosomal RNA (468 nucleotides) under uncultured bacterium. Its description in RNAcentral is "partial 16S ribosomal RNA". It matches the Rfam family "Bacterial small subunit ribosomal RNA", at positions 28 to 507 of the family's 1533-position model. The record is from RNAcentral.